Molecule: unclassified non-coding RNA, 262 nt
Filed under: Glomus sp.
Lineage: Eukaryota; Fungi; Glomeromycota; Glomeromycetes; Glomerales; Glomeraceae
Description: partial contains 5.8S ribosomal RNA and internal transcribed spacer 2
Rfam family: 5.8S ribosomal RNA (bases 1-65)
Source: RNAcentral
GUGAAUCAUCAAAUUUUUGAACGCAAAUUGCACUCUCCUCGGAGAGUAUGCCUGUUUGAGGGUCAGCCUAAAAAAAAAAUCGACAUCGUUGCUGUUUCGCGGUGAGGUUAGUCGGAAAUUGGGUCAUCGUAAAACUUUUGGUUUUUAAGUGACUUAAAAUUUUCUUUUGAGCCCAUGAACGUUUCUUAGAUUUAUAUCUUUACACGUUUAAGGGUAUCGAUUUUAUUAGACGUGGCCGUCAUAUCGGAUUGCGGUCAAAAGA